GAUGAACGCUGGCGGCGUGCCUAAUACAUGCAAGUCGAGCGAACGGACGAGAAGCUUGCUUUUCUGAUGUUAGCGGCGGACGGGUGAGUAACACGUGGAUAACCUACCUAUAAGACUGGGAUAACUUCGGGAAACCGGAGCUAAUACCGGAUAAUAUUUUGAACCGCAUGGUUCAAAAGUGAAAGACGGUCUUGCUGUCACUUAUAGAUGGAUCCGCGCUGCAUUAGCUAGUUGGUAAGGUAUCGGCUUACCAAGGCAACGAUGCAUAGCCGACCUGAGAGGGUGAUCGGCCACACUGGAACUGAGACACGGUCCAGACUCCUACGGGAGGCAGCAGUAGGGAAUCUUCCGCAAUGGGCGAAAGCCUGACGGAGCAACGCCGCGUGAGUGAUGAAGGUCUUCGGAUCGUAAAACUCUGUUAUUAGGGAAGAAUAUAUGUGUAAGUAACUGUGCACAUCUUGACGGUACCUAAUCAGAAAGCCACGGCUAACUACGUG
RNAcentral lists this ribosomal RNA (497 nucleotides) under uncultured bacterium. Its description in RNAcentral is "partial 16S ribosomal RNA". It matches the Rfam family "Bacterial small subunit ribosomal RNA", at positions 28 to 507 of the family's 1533-position model. The record is from RNAcentral.